This 253-nucleotide ribosomal RNA is filed under the name uncultured bacterium. Its description in RNAcentral is "partial 16S ribosomal RNA". It matches the Rfam family "Bacterial small subunit ribosomal RNA", at positions 524 to 776 of the family's 1533-position model. The record is from RNAcentral.
UACGAAGGGGGCUAGCGUUGUUCGGAAUUACUGGGCGUAAAGGGCGCGUAGGCGGUACUUCAAGUCAGGCGUGAAAGCCCCGGGCUCAACCUGGGAACCGCGCUUGAGACUGGAGAACUAGAGUUCGGGAGAGGAUGGUGGAAUUCCCAGUGUAGAGGUGAAAUUCGUAGAUAUUGGGAAGAACACCGAUGGCGAAGGCAGCCAUCUGGACCGACACUGACGCUGAGGCGCGAAAGCAUGGGGAGCGAACAGG